This is an RNA transcript of Mirounga angustirostris (Northern elephant seal), 3581 nucleotides long. It is a transcript of the gene named family with sequence similarity 200 member C, with no coding region annotated. The transcript is spliced from 3 exons. Lineage: Eukaryota; Metazoa; Chordata; Mammalia; Carnivora; Phocidae. The record is from RefSeq and is a predicted model, not a curated record.
UGCGCCUGCGUGCGGGGAGACACCGUCUGCGGGCGGGAAGCCACACGGAGAACCCGGAUGGAACCUCGGCGCGGCUGGGGUGGAGGUCGCCGCGGACGCAUCUGUGUCCCCGCGCCCUGCAGGUUCCUGCUCGGGGACCGGACCUGAGGAGCCGCCGCCCUGACUUGUUCCGGCGCUUAGUGGCUGGACCCUAGCCCGAGCGGAGAGCGACCUGGAGUCGGAGACGGGCCACUGAAAGAAGCCCGAGCAUCCCUUGGGCCUGCGCCCUGGCUCGGAGACGGGCGGGUGGAGACCGAGCGGAGUCCUUCCUCGCAGCCGGCGCCCGUAGCUCGCCCGAGCUGCUUCCCAAACGCGCCGUCUUUAAUUAUACACCAACAGGUCCUACCAGUUACGAGCUGCAUGUUCUUUACGUGCAUGCUUCAUAAUUAAAGCUCCCAACAACCCUCUAAGGCUCCACACCCAGCAUGGAGCCCAACGUGGGGCUCAAGCUCAUGACCCUGAGAUCAAGACCUGAGCUGAGAUCAAGAGUCGGAUGCUUAACCGACUGAGCCACCCAGCAAAAUUCUGCAGCAUCUCUGGAAUACUACCUGAGAAUUUCGGGGUGCCAUGUCGAAGAAACGCAAAUGGGAUGAUGACUAUGUUCGUUACUGGUUCACCUGUACAACAGAGGUUGAUGGAACUCAGCGCCCACAAUGUGUAUUGUGUAACUCGAUAUUUUCAAAUGCUGACCUCAGACCAUCAAAAUUGUCUGACCAUUUUAACAGACAGCAUGGUGGUGUAGGUGGGCAUGAUCUCAAUAGCCUGAAGCAUAUGCCAACACCAUCUGAUCAGAGUGAAACCUUGAAAACAUUUGGAGUUACAUCUCACGAGGAUGCCUUAUUACAAGCAUCAUAUCAGUUUGCAUAUUUAUGUGCCAAGGAGAAGAAUCCCCAUACAAUAGCUGAAAAAUUAGUAAAACCUUGUGCAUUGGAAAUAGCACAAAUAGUUUUGGGACCAGAUGCACAAAAGAAGCUUCAGCAGGUACCCUUAUCAGAUGAUGUGAUCCAUUCUAGAAUUGAUGAAAUGAGCCAGGAUAUCUUACAGCAAGUUCUAGAGGACAUCAAAGCCAGUCCUCUGAAAGUGGGUAUUCAGCUUGCUGAGACAACGGACAUGGGUGACUGCAGUCAGCUAAUGGCAUUUGUACGAUACAUAAAAGAAAGAGAGAUCAUAGAAGAAUUUCUAUUCUGUGAACCAUUGCAGUUAACAAUGAAAGGAAAAGAUGUGUUCAAUCUCUUCAGAGACUUCUUUUUGAAGCAUAAGAUAGCACUUGAUGUAUGUGGCUCUGUUUGUACUGACGGUGCCUCUUCUAUGCUGGCAGAAAAUUCAGAAUUUAUUGCUUGUGUGAAAAAAGAGGCACCUCACAUCGUGAUCACGCAUUGUUUGUUGAAUCCUCAUGACCUUGUCACAAAGACCUUGCCUACAAAACUGAGAGAUGCUCUGUUUACUGUGGUGAGGGUAAUAAAUUUCAUUAAAGGACGCGCUCCAAAUCAUCGCCUCUUUCAGGCUUUUUUUGAAGAAAUUGGAAUCGAGUAUAGUGUCCUCCUUUUCCAUACUGAAAUGAGGUGGCUUUCCCGAGGUCAAAUACUUACCCAUAUUUUUGAAAUGUAUGAAGAAAUAAAUCAGUUUCUUCACCACCAAAGCAGUAACUUAGUUGAUGGCUUUGAAAAUAAAGAGUUUAAAGUUCACUUAGCAUACCUUGCAGAUUUAUUCAAACACCUGAAUGAACUUAGUGCAUCUAUGCAAAGGACUGGGAUGAACACAGUAUCAGCUAGAGAAAAGUUAUCUGCUUUUGUUAGGAAGUUUCCAUUUUGGCUAAAGCGAAUUGAGAAAAGAAAUUUUACCAACUUUCCUUUUCUUGAAGAAAUCAUUGUUUCAGAUAAUGAAGCAGCAAGCAUUGCAGCUGAAAUAACACUGCACCUGCAACAGCUGAGCAACUUCUUCCAUGGAUAUUUUUCUGUUGGAGAUCUUGCUGAGGCAAGUAAAUGGAUACUGGAUCCGUUUCUUUUUAAUCUGGAUUUUGUCGAUGAUGGUUAUUUGAUGAAAACUGAUCUUGCUGAAUUACGAGCUAGUGGCCAAAUCCUAAUGGAAUUUGAGACAAUGAAGCUUGAGGAUUUCUGGUGUGCUCAAUUCACAGUGUUUCCAAGCCUGGCAAAGACAGCUCUAGAAAUCCUUAUACCAUUUGCAACUACAUACCUUUGUGAGUUGGGAUUUUCAUCACUUUUACAUUUUAAAACAAAGUCCAGAAGCUGCUUUAAUAUGAGUGAUGACAUUCGUGUGGCUAUUUCAAAAAAAGUUCCUCGUUUCUCAGACAUCAUUGAACAAAAGCUACAGCUACAGCAGAAGUCACUGUGAGCUGAUACAUUUUUAAUGUAUAAUUUUUAAUAUAUUCUUAAUUUCAUUGUAAAAUUAAGCUAUAAUUGUGUCUCUUUUAUAUUUAUGGCAUACCAAAUCCCAAGAAAAAGUUUAGCAUGUGUAACUUUUAAUUUUCACAGUUUUGAGAGUAAGAACACAGGCAGCAGAAAAGAUUAAAUACCACCUAGUGGAUACAUAGAAUUCUUCUAAGUAUCUGUUGAAGCUGUUGAUGUGAUACGUAAAAAGACACACAAGCACUAGAAUAUCCACCUAAGUGGUACAAUAGGCUAGGAAUGGAUCCCGGAGAAGAGAGAAGAUCUCCCAGAACAUGCAUCUUCAUGUUAAAAGUAAAAGUUGAAGGACAAAAUGAUAGACUGAGUCCCCGCGUCUCUGUGAGUGUUGUCAAUGGGGAGGCUAAUGGGAUCAGAAAAGGAUUAUGAAAUGUUAUAGUUGGAAAAGGGAUGAUUCUAGUUUAUAUAAGAUUUACUUUUAAAUGUAUUCUUUGGAGUUAGUCUUACAAUGUCCAUUCCUCUAGCUCCCAUGCUCUAAAUGCCAUGACAUUAAUAAAUGUCCUAAUAUCCUAUUAGUCACUCUUUGUCUUUUUUUAAAUUACAGCAGGACUCCAAGUCAUUGAGGCUGCUAAAAAGAGGAUCUGAGAGCCUCACCAUAGAGAUUCUGAUUUAGCAGAUCUGGCAUAAGCUCAAGGGCCUUCAUUCUUUUUUUUUUUUUUUUAAAGAUUUUAUGUAUUUAUUUGACAGAGAGACAGUGAGAGAGGGAACACAAGCAAGGGGAGUGGGAGAGGGAGAAGCAGGCUUCCUGCUGAGCAGGGAGCCUGAGGUGGGGAUCAUGACCUGAGCCGAAGGCAGACGCUUAACGACUGAGCCACCUAGGCACCCCAAGGGCCUUCAUUCUUAACCAGUUUCCAGAUAGUUCUGAUGGAUUCUUUGGGCCUCCGGUCUCAUCUUAUUUUCCCUUUACCCCAAUUUUCCCACUUAUUUACAUCUUAAGCUCUGUGUAUUUACCUAACAUAGUUCAAAACUUUUGAAUGGACCAGAAUAUAAAUAAUAAAUAAAUUGAUGUGAAGUCACUGUGGUAAAUCAGGGCCAUCAAAAAAUUUCCUGUGGGAAUUUAAAUUUUCAUACGUUUUCUGGAUAAUAAUUUGGUAAAAUAUAGUUUUAAAUUUUAAUAAA